CCGUCUGCUCAGGGUUGAGGAAUGAGACGGGUGUGGAGACUGAAUGCCUGACUGGGCUCUCAGAGGAAACAUAGGAAACCAUAAAAACUGCCAGAGCUGGAAGUGAGACCUUUUUCAUGAAGUGGCUAGGGCAAGAAAGAGGUUUGAUUCAGGUUCCUUGCUCUUAAAAGCUGAGGCUACUGCUGCAUCCUGUAAGGAGGGAAGAGGUUGGGAGCAUAUUUGUGUGUCAGUAUGACGUGGAUGGAGUGUGAGAUGGUGGAAAGGAAAUCCUCACAGAGCAGGAGGAAAAAAGAAUGGUCAAAAAUGUGUGCAGCCCUGAUCAGACUGGAAAGCUGCACUGGCCUAAGCUAAUGGAAGAACUGUAUCUAUCUUACAGUCUGCAAAUCUAAGGAAAAGAUCUUUUUCAGUGGAGCUGUCCUAUUGUUUUUAAUGAGUAGUCAUAGAUCCCAGAUCCUGCUGAUUUAAUGAUAUGUUAUCACUGUACAUUACAAGUUUUUGUGUGUUUUUUUUGUUUGUUUUGUAAAUAUUAUCAGGCUGAAUUUGUAUUAUCU
This 551-nucleotide long non-coding RNA is filed under the name Apteryx rowi (Okarito brown kiwi). Its description in RNAcentral is "lncRNA (ENSARWG00000011047.1)". Lineage: Eukaryota; Metazoa; Chordata; Aves; Apterygiformes; Apterygidae. The record is from RNAcentral.